AUUGAACGCUGGCGGCAUGCCUUACACAUGCAAGUCGAACGGCAGCACGGGUGCUUGCACCUGGUGGCGAGUGGCGAACGGGUGAGUAAUACAUCGGAACGUACCUUAUCGUGGGGGAUAACGCAGCGAAAGCUGUGCUAAUACCGCAUACGCCCUGAGGGGGAAAGCGGGGGAUCGCAAGACCUCGCGCGAUUAGAGCGGCCGAUGCCUGAUUAGCUAGUUGGUGGGGUAAAAGCCCACCAAGGCGACGAUCAGUAGCUGGUCUGAGAGGACGAUCAGCCACACUGGGACUGAGACACGGCCCAGACUCCUACGGGAGGCAGCAGUGGGGAAUUUUGGACAAUGGGGGCAACCCUGAUCCAGCAAUGCCGCGUGAGUGAAGAAGGCCUUCGGGUUGUAAAGCUCUUUUGUCAGGGAAGAAACACCGGCUCUAACACAGUCCGGGAAUGACGGUACCUGAAGAAUAAGCACCGGCUAACUACGUGCCAGCCGCCGCAGUAA
RNAcentral lists this ribosomal RNA (501 nucleotides) under uncultured bacterium. RNAcentral describes it as "partial 16S ribosomal RNA". It matches the Rfam family "Bacterial small subunit ribosomal RNA", at positions 29 to 523 of the family's 1533-position model. The record is from RNAcentral.